RNAcentral lists this long non-coding RNA (221 nucleotides) under Medicago truncatula (barrel medic). RNAcentral describes it as "long non-coding RNA (MTRU_LNC001781)". Lineage: Eukaryota; Viridiplantae; Streptophyta; Magnoliopsida; Fabales; Fabaceae. The record is from RNAcentral.
AAAAAAAUAGAGUCGGGGUCGUAGAACAUCAAAUCCGUCUUUAACUACCCUGAGGAAAAUGAUAUUUCUUAUUUUGAUAGUUCCUUUAAAAAACAAUAAAAUAGACUAGUAACAAAACCUAAACAUCUCUUCUUCUUUUUUUAUGAAAUGAACAUCACUUAUUUGACAAAUUUGAUUCCUUCUAUAAAUUAUUAGCUCUUGUGCAAUAAAAAGAAAGAGGG